GGCUGGAAACCGUAGGGAGCAUCUUCUCCCGGACUCGGGACCUGGUUCGGGCCGGGGUGCUGAAGGAGAAGCCCCUGUGGUUUGACGUAUAUGACGCCUUUCCCCCGCUGAGGGAGCCCGUCUUCCAAAGGCCUCGAGUGCGAUAUGGCAAAGCCAAAGCUCCCAUCCAAGACAUCUGGUACCACGAGGAUCGGAUUAGAGCGUGAGUGCUCAGCCCUGUAGUGGACAGGAAGCAACAGAACUUCAGAAGGGAAGGUUUGGGUAGCAGUCUGGGAAUUCAAAUAUGAAAUUGAGUCAGGGGUUUGCCCUGUGGAGAAGGCUUAUCUAGCCAAAUUAGGGAGGCAGCACCCCUUCCUCAUAGUGAAACUGAAGUUCUGAAAAGUGGAAUCUGGAGCCCAGCAACCGAAAGAUCAUUGCAAUUAUAGCCGCAUGUUUCUGGGCAUCUGCUUUGGGCCAGGCACUGUACUAAGCUCUUUGCAAGCAUUAUCUCAUUCUCUAAAGGCCUUACUCUAACUUGUAAGGAAGGUAUUCUUGUUUCCAUUUUAUUCAAGGAGACUGCGAAGCUCAAGGGAAUUAGCUAACUUCUUGUAAUUACUAAAUAUAUAGGAGGGUGGCGGAUCUGGGAAUCACAUCUCUGACUCCAAGCUUAUGGUGAUCAUUAUGCCGGUCUUCUCCAGGAGUGGAGAUAGGAGGAACGUGGUCUGUG
Molecule: small RNA, 706 nt
Filed under: Pan troglodytes (chimpanzee)
Lineage: Eukaryota; Metazoa; Chordata; Mammalia; Primates; Hominidae
Description: retained intron
Source: RNAcentral